GUGGGGAAUAUUGGACAAUGGGGGGAACCCUGAUCCAGCCAUGCCGCGUGUGUGAAGAAGGCCUUUUGGUUGUAAAGCACUUUAAGCGAGGAGGAGGCUACCGAGAUUAAUACUCUUGGAUAGUGGACGUUACUCGCAGAAUAAGCACCGGCUAACUCUGUGCCAGCAGCCGCGGUAAUACAGAGGGUGCAAGCGUUAAUCGGAUUUACUGGGCGUAAAGCGCGCGUAGGUGGCCAAUUAAGUCAAAUGUGAAAUCCCCGAGCUUAACUUGGGAAUUGCAUUCGAUACUGGUUGGCUAGAGUAUGGGAGAGGAUGGUAGAAUUCCAGGUGUAGCGGUGAAAUGCGUAGAGAUCUGAAGGAAUACCGAUGGCGAAGGCAGCCAUCUGGCCUAAUACUGACACUGAGGUGCGAAAGCAUGGGGAGCAAACAGGAUUAGAUACCCUGGUAGUCC
RNAcentral lists this ribosomal RNA (451 nucleotides) under uncultured bacterium. RNAcentral describes it as "partial 16S ribosomal RNA". It matches the Rfam family "Bacterial small subunit ribosomal RNA", at positions 354 to 796 of the family's 1533-position model. The record is from RNAcentral.